GGAUUGGAUAACUUUUCUGGAAUACAUUGCCUAUGGAAUAGAACUUAAAGGAAGCGAUGCCAAUGCCUCGUCAGAGGAAUAUCUUCUGGGUCUGGCCUUGUCUUCCUUCAAAUAUUGCUUUAUACAUUGAAGGGAACCUAUAACUGCCAUGGCCACCUUCUUAGAGAGAGCAUUCAAGUCUAUCAUAUCAGCCGUUGCUUACUGUUUCUUUCACCUUCAAGACGACCACGCAGGCAUCACCAAUAUCAACUACAACAUGCCUAAGGGGCGACCACUUUCUUUGCAGACUGUGGAGCUCAAAGUCCGGAUGUGUUGCAGUGGCUGUGAAAGAGUUGUAAAAAAUGCAAUUCACAAGCUUAGAGGAGUUGAUUCAGUGGAGGUUGACCUAGACAUGGAAAAGGUAACGGUGGUGGGGUACGUUGAUCAAAAUAAGGUGCUAAAGGCAGUGAGGAGGGUAGGAAAGAGAGCAGAAUUCUGGCCCUACCCGAAUCCGCCAUUGUACUUCACAUCUGCGAAUCACUAUUUCAAAGACACCACCAACGAAUUCAAAGAAAGCUACAAUUACUACAGGCAUGGCUAUAAUGUUGGGGAAAGGUAUGGCAACAUUCCGGUUACUCACCGUGGAGACGACAAGGUCAGCAACAUGUUCAAUGACGACAACGUUAAUGCCUGCUGUCUUAUGUAAUUAUAUAUACACACAUACAUACUUACAUCUCUACCUUAUGUGUGUGUGUGUGUAUAUAUAUAGUUAAGCCAACUGGAAUGCUGUCACAAAAAUGUAAGCAACUAAAUAUUGUAGUUACCCUGUUUUAGAAUUCUUCUCAAUUUUAGAGAAUUAGUGUGUAGAAGUAACAGGAACACUAAAACAAUUCCAAUUUCUAAGCAUUAUGGCUUUUACAACUAAAACUAGUGUUUGAAUGCCAACAAUUUUGUUACUUUUUUUUCUGUGUUUUGUGCUCAUAUCUCCUGAUUAAAAAUAAAAACUAUUUAUUAUUUUGAUGCUACUUUCUCUGAGAUAUUUUCGGCCAUCAUUAGCAGUAACCAGAAAUAAAACCAUGUAACCAACUAAUUUACAACUGUACUAUAAAAUUUGUAAGUAAAAAUGGCAAGGAGGAAGCAGCAGCAGGAAGUAGAAAGAGUGCUAGAAUAUUUGCAUUGGAGGAGAAAGCUCACAUGCUAGCCAUCCAAAAACAGACAAAAUCUAAAACUAUUUGUGGCACUGAUGCUAGCAUUAGUUCAUCAUCACUAGCAGCUGCUAAAAGGAGGGGCUGCAAGAGCAAAAGUCUCCAAGCAGUCAUCAAUAAUUCUGUUACUACCUCUCCUCACCAGGAAGGAGAAGAACCAAAACCUGAAGAUAAUGCAACAAAAGCUGGUGAGCCCUUUAAUGCACAGUUGAAAAAAGAUAUAAUAUAAUCCUUUUUUCUAUGUUCCCAGUUCUAAUUAAUUUACUUUAUUGUCCAAGAACAAAUGGAAAAUUUGCCAUCCCUGCAAUGGAUGCCGAAGAAACAGACACUAGAGUUUGUCCUGGACAUAUUGCAGAGGAGAGACACACAAGAAAUUUUUGCACAGCCAGUUGAUCCCCAAGAGGUGCUUGGCUAUUACAAUAUCCUUAGAGAGCCAAUGGAUUUUGGCACAAUGAGGGCUAAACUUCAGGAAGGAAUGUAUACAAGUUUGGAACAAUUUGAGGUUUGCUCCAAAAUCAGAAGAACGUUGUGUCAAGAACUUCACAUAGUUUAAAUUCUAUGAAUUAUUCUGCAGCAUGAUGUAUUUCUGAUAUCCAGCAAUGCAAUGAAGUUCAAUUCUUCAACAACAGUUUAUUAUGCAGAGGCUAGAGCUAUAAGUGAAUUGGCUCAGAGGCUUUUCUGUGCUUUGAGAACUGAACCAGAAAACUCUCAAUUGGAGUGCUCGAGGACAAGGAGACGCCCUGGUAGGAAACCACAAAGUGCAGCUGGAGGUUUGCUCUCUGGGUCUGCUAAACCUGCUAGUUCCAAAGAUGGUGUUUCCCUUAAUGAUCCAUCUAUCAAGAGAACUACCCUUCAGUUACCCCAAUUCAAGCCUUACAUUGGCCAAACGAGUAAUGGAAUUCUUCCUGGCAAGAGAGACUAAUUUAUUGUACUUAAGUGCUUGAAAAUUGGAGUAGAUAUUAUUUUAUUUGGUACAUUAGAAAUUCUUGAAGGGAAGGUUUAAAUUUCUAACUUCUGCACUACGAGAUAAGUGUUAAACUACUGGGCUACUAGCCCAAUGGCUUGGAGUGGAUGUCAUUAAUUUUGUAGCAAUACUAGGUAGAUAUAUGCAUUUAUUUAUCUAUAUAAAGAAGUAAACUUGAUCUAUUCUUACUUGAUUUCAACAGUGUCAAGAGAUGGUAGGAGAUUAAAUUCCUCUGCAACUGAAACGUGUAUGACAUAUGUGUCUCAGCAUCCCUUACAUAGUGAGAAUGAGAAGUUUGUUUCAACAGUUUAUAAUGCCCCAAAACCACUUAACCAUGUUUCAAAUGCAGGUUCCCGAUAUGCAGAGAGUAAUGAAAUUUGUUAGAGAUCUAGGGCCAGCAGCUCAAAUUGCUGCCAACAAUGAACUACUAAAAUAUCCAAUUGAAGCUCCAAAUGUUCUUUCCUAGACUCAAACACCACCUUUUGGCAAGACUGCUAAUUGUCUACUUCCUGCACUAUCUACCCUCCAGAAUCCUGCAGCUUAUCUGAAUGGGGGUGAUGGUGGUCAAAUGCCUUGCAAUAUCAUUUCUAACCCUUCUGGUUCCUAUAAAGGAAAGAUGGUCUACACUGAUGGAGGAAUGAAUACUUCUGGAAGAGAAUUGAUCUCUCCUCACAACAGUUUAGCAGGAGCAAGGCCUCAGACCACUGAUGGUGGACUCACUGAUUACAAGUUAGUUGGAGGGCAGGGUCCUAACAAAAGCGGAAAUACAGAUGCCUGUGGUUCUUCCAAAUCCAGUGACAAUAUGGACCUUCUUCUUGCAACUCUGAUGCAAAACAGUGCUAUUCAAAAUCGAACUAACUAUACUUCAUCAGGUACAUAUUUUCCUCUUACAGGAUAUGAAGAUCUGCCUCCUGCUCCAUCAUCUCAGAUCAACAAUGAAUCUCAGUCAUGGCUGCUAAAUAACCAUUCACAGUCUACAAGCUUGCCUUACCAAACUAGUAAAAUUGCAAGUACUAAUAAUGCCACAACCACCUCCUCUACGAGUGGAUUUCCAAAUGGAGAGGGGCCAAGCACUGCUGCUCCAGCUGCUGCAUUAGACCAAAACAAGCUAAUGGAAGGGAAACAACCUGCAGCACCAUGGGGUCUGCCGGUGAUGAGUGAUCUUCCUGUCUUGCAAACAGAGGCUAACAAGCAGAUUCCACCUACCCAGAACAUGUUACAGCAACAAGUACAAGUUGCAUCAACUAAAGAAAUACCAUUGUUCAAUACAAUGAAAUCUCUUGAAGGAGUUAAGCCCCAAGGUCAUAAGGCAACUUUCAAGCAGCCUGAUUUGGAUCUCUAACUUUGAGCUUAAUGCCUCUAUGCCCUGAAUAAGAGAAGACGACAGCUGUCUUGCUUUUUUUAAUAACAAUUUAUAAAUAUAUAUAUAAAGAUGAUAUAUUGGAAUUGGCCUUGGCCUGUUCUUAAAAGUUGGUGGAUACUACAAUAGCCAUUAAUGGAUUUUUGUCCUAAAGAGUUUUAAAAGAUUGUUGCCUUCAUCAUCAGGCUUAAAAAUCAGUAAGUGAUUUGGUUUAAGCCUAAUUUUAUCUGGUUGAAUCCUUGUGUUGUGUCCCUAGGCAUUGCUUU
Molecule: unclassified non-coding RNA, 3774 nt
Filed under: Hevea brasiliensis (rubber tree)
Lineage: Eukaryota; Viridiplantae; Streptophyta; Magnoliopsida; Malpighiales; Euphorbiaceae
Source: RNAcentral